CCUACGGGAGGCAGCAGUGGGGAAUUUUGCACAAUGGGCACAAGCCUGAUGCAGCAACGCCGCGUGUGUGAUGAAGGUCUUCGGAUUGUAAAGCACUUUCGACCGGGACGAAACACCCUUGGCCAACAUCCAAGGGCCUGACGGUACCGGGAGAAGAAGCACCGGCUAACUCUGUGCCAGCAGCCGCGGUAAU
Molecule: ribosomal RNA, 193 nt
Filed under: uncultured Geobacter sp.
Lineage: Bacteria; Pseudomonadati; Thermodesulfobacteriota; Desulfuromonadia; Geobacterales; Geobacteraceae
Description: partial 16S ribosomal RNA
Rfam family: Bacterial small subunit ribosomal RNA
Source: RNAcentral